GAUGAACGCUGGCGGCGUGCCUAACACAUGCAAGUCGAACGAACUCUAGAUCUUAUUCCUAGCAUUCGACGGGAGCAGACAUAUAACUUUUGUGAAAUAUGAUUUUAUUGAGCAAAAGUUCAUAUGUCUGCUAGACGUCGAUACCUUUGCUAGGCAUCAGGUCUUUAGAGUUAGUGGCGGACGGGUGAGUAACACGUUAGUACCUGCCCUUUAGUGGGGAAUAACCCGGCGAAAGUCGGGCUAAUACCGCAUAUGACCGUUUACGGUUAAGACUUCGGUCGCUAAAGGGAGGGGCUUGCGUCUGAUUAGCUAGUUGGCGGGUAAAGGCCCACCAAGGCUACGAUCAGUAGCUGGUUCGAGAGGAUGACCAGCCACACUGGGACUGAGAUACGGCCCAGACUCCGUACGGGAGGCAGCAGUGAGGAAUCUUCCGCAAUGGGCGAAAGCCUGACGGAGCAACGCCGCGUGC
RNAcentral lists this ribosomal RNA (469 nucleotides) under uncultured bacterium. RNAcentral's name for it is "bacterial SSU rRNA". It matches the Rfam family "Bacterial small subunit ribosomal RNA", at positions 28 to 404 of the family's 1533-position model. The record is from RNAcentral.